RNAcentral lists this ribosomal RNA (494 nucleotides) under uncultured bacterium. RNAcentral describes it as "partial 16S ribosomal RNA". It matches the Rfam family "Bacterial small subunit ribosomal RNA", at positions 28 to 506 of the family's 1533-position model. The record is from RNAcentral.
GACGAACGCUGGCGGCGUGCCUAAUACAUGCAAGUAGAACGCUGAAGGAGGAGCUUGCUUCUCUGGAUGAGUUGCGAACGGGUGAGUAACGCGUAGGUAACCUGCCUGGUAGCGGGGGAUAACUAUUGGAAACGAUAGCUAAUACCGCAUAAUAGUAGAUGUUGCAUGACAUUUGCUUAAAAGGUGCAAUUGCAUCACUACCAGAUGGACCUGCGUUGUAUUAGCUAGUUGGUGAGGUAACGGCUCACCAAGGCAACGAUACAUAGCCGACCUGAGAAGGUGAUCGGCCACACUGGGACUGAGACACGGCCCAGACUCCUACGGGAGGCAGCAGUAGGGAAUCUUCGGCAAUGGACGGAAGUCUGACCGAGCAACGCCGCGUGAGUGAAGAAGGUUUUCGGAUCGUAAAGCUCUGUUGUAAGAGAAGAACGAGUGUGAGAGUGGAAAGUUCACACUGUGACGGUAUCUUACCAGAAAGGGACGGCUAACUACGU